RNAcentral lists this ribosomal RNA (324 nucleotides) under uncultured bacterium. Its description in RNAcentral is "bacterial SSU rRNA". It matches the Rfam family "Bacterial small subunit ribosomal RNA", at positions 29 to 334 of the family's 1533-position model. The record is from RNAcentral.
AGCGAACGUUAGCGGGAGGCUUAACACAUGCAAGUCGAGCGAGAACGGAGACUUCGGUCUCUUAGUAAAGCGGCGGACGGGUGAGUAACACGUGGAUAAUCUGCCCUUUGGCGGGGGACAACAGCUCGAAAGGGUUGCUAAUACCGCAUAAGUCUACCGAGUCCCCGGAUUCGGUAGGGAAAGAUGGCCUCUUCUUGAAAGCUAUCACCGAAGGAUGAGUCCGCGUUGCAUCAGCUUGUUGGUGGGGUAAUGGCCUACCAAGGCAGAGACGCAUAGCUGGUCUGAGAGGAUGAUCAGCCACACUGGGACUGCGAUACGGCCCAG